Molecule: ribosomal RNA, 567 nt
Filed under: Phenoliferia psychrophenolica
Lineage: Eukaryota; Fungi; Basidiomycota; Microbotryomycetes; Kriegeriales; Kriegeriaceae
Description: partial large subunit ribosomal RNA
Rfam family: Eukaryotic large subunit ribosomal RNA
Source: RNAcentral
GUGAGCGGGAAGAGCUCAAAUUUGUAAUCUGGCACCUUCGGUGUCCGAGUUGUAAUCUCGAGAAGUGUUUUCCGCGCCGGACCGCAUACAAGUCUGUUGGAAUACAGCGUCAUAGUGGUGAGAACCCCGUAACUGAUGCGGAUGCCCGGUGCUUUGUGAUACACUUUCGAAGAGUCGAGUUGUUUGGGAAUGCAGCUCAAAUUGGGUGGUAAAUUCCAUCUAAAGCUAAAUAUUGGCGAGAGACCGAUAGCGAACAAGUACCGUGAGGGAAAGAUGAAAAGCACUUUGGAAAGAGAGUUAACAGUACGUGAAAUUGUUGGAAGGGAAACGCUUGAAGUCAGACUUGCUAUUUGGAAUUCAGCCGCAAGGUGUACUUUUCAAUUCGCAGGCCAGCAUCAGUUUUCGGGGGUGGAAAAGGGUAGAGAGAAGGUAGCAAUUUCGGUUGUGUUAUAGCUCUUUGCUGGAUUCAUCCUUGGGGACUGAGGAACGCAGCACGCUUUUUGCAAGGCUUUCGAGCUUUUCGUGCUUAGGAUGCUGGUGGAAUGGCUUUAAACGACCCGUCUUGAA